Anguilla rostrata (American eel) is the source of this 2536-nucleotide long non-coding RNA. RefSeq lists it as uncharacterized. The record is from RefSeq and is a predicted model, not a curated record. The transcript has 6 exons. Lineage: Eukaryota; Metazoa; Chordata; Actinopteri; Anguilliformes; Anguillidae.
AGCCUGCAGGUUAAUACGCGGGAUCCAAAUCUAAUAUUCGAAUGCUCAAAUUUAGGUUCGAACUUUAAAAAAAGAAAGAUUUUCGAAUAGUUUUCGAACUUAUUUUUUGACAGCCCUAGUUCUGUAUACACUCACCGGCCACUUCAAUAGGCAAACCUGUUACACUGCUCGUAAAUAUCUUCUCUCAAAUAUCUAAUCAGCCAAUCACGUGGCAGCAACUCAAUGCAUUUAGGCUUGUAGACAAAAGUCAAGACGAUCUGCUGAAGUUCAAACCAAGCAUCAGAAUGGGAAAGAAAGGUGAUUUAAGUGACUUUGAACGUGGCAUGGUUGUUGGUGCCAGACGGGCUGGUUUAAGUAUUUCAGAAACUGCUGAUCUACUGGGAUUUUCACGCACAUCUCUAGGGUUUACAGAGAAUGGUCCGAAAAAGAGAAAAUACCCAAUGAGCGGCAGUUCUCUGGCUGAAAAUGCCUUGUUGAUGGCAGAGGUCAGAGGAGAAUGGCCAGACAGGUUCGAGCUGAUAGAAAGGCAACAGUAACUCAAAUAACCACUCGUUACAACCGAGGUAUGCAGAAGAGCAUCUCUGAACGCAAAACACGUCGAACCCUGAAGCAGAAUACCACACCGGGUGCCCCUCCUGUCACCUAAUGAAGUGGCCGGUGAGUGUAUACUCCCAUAGGCUACAUAGAGUGCCCUCCAUGUUUGAGAGAAAAGCAUUCUCCGCAAUUCCAGAUUACAGCACUUCAUACGUGCCAUCUUGCGUUUCAUAAAUUUACCUGAAAGUGAAAUAACAAUCUGAUUGUCCUCCUCGUUUAAAUUAAACUCUUCUUUUUUUUCAAUAUCCAUUCAUAAUACGAUAAAUAAAAUACAAACCAUUCGUUUGUUUGUUUGUCUUUCGCGUUUGCUAGGUCUGCACGACAAACUGUUUCACGGAACUAGCUACGUAUGGUCAGAACCGGAGGUUUCGUAGGUUCGUUUACAUCAGCCAAUCAGACUGCAUCAGACUACCUGUCUGUCUGCAUGCCCUGUACAUUGGACCCAGAAAGAAAAUUUCCUUGGUGGGGAGAUAAGUCUGAUCCAAGUUUCUGGCUAGCUAAUGUUGUUAAAUUAAAUGUUUUGUUAAACUUGCUGUAGUUUAUCAGGCAUCUUACACAAACAUUUCACGUAUAUACAUACUUCAUUAUCAAUUAUCAGGCUGCAGUUUAUAGUUAAAUAACAUAGCGGGCUAAUAUAACAACAAAAUGAAAAAGACAGCAGUUGCGAUGAAAAAAUCGAAAGACGCCAAAACAUGAAUUCAAGCUUAUAAGCUGGACACGGACUACAAACUUUCAAGACAAAAAUGAAUAUAGCCAUAGUCAUUGUUCUUUUGAGCAUUUUUUGAAGAUAACAGGAGUCAUCUCAUUGAUACAUUGUCAAGAGCUGACACCAUGAAGAUGGCAGAUCUCUUGCUUCAGAAUAAAUAUAUUAGCGAUGCAACUUAUGAAACAAUUCAUAAAGAGCCCCUUCAACCAGAUAAAGUGAGAGCACUGUAUCAUGCUAUGAAACCUGGGGAUCUGCGGUCAUACCUUGUCUGUUAUGAGUACCUGGAAAAAUGGCAGCCAUGCUUCAUUGAGAAUCUGGAAAGAAAGACUGGGGAUGAAACUGCCUCUGAGCCUUUGAGAAAGAAGGCAAGGAUUGAGGAACCUGAUCAGACCCAAGCCCAAGACGCCACGAAUGAAACUGACUCUGGGUCCACUCCGAAUUUUACAGGCUGGACUCGCUCCAAAUUGCUGGAGCAUGUUGAGGAUCCAGUUAACAUAAAACAUCUGGUAACUUCAUUGGAACAAAGACUUGAAGACAGAGAGAUGGAACAACUUGAAAGCAUGCUACAGAACUGUGCACUUAAAAAUACAGUUUUUUUAAACCAUGAAGCCUUUAGGGAUAUAUGCAUCAACAAGGAACUGUCAAACUUCUUGAUAUCCAAAAGCCAGGCAAAAUUUCCCAAACUGGCUAUUGAUCAGUUUUUUACAGGGGGUUUUAAAACAAGGAGACCUAAGCCUUUAAGAACCCAGGAUGACCCAGAAAAGGACAACGGCGACUCUGGAACAAUGCAGAACAGGCAGUCUGCAGAGCUUUCUAGAAUGCAGGAAGAGAGUUUUGACCAAAACUCUUUAAAUAGCCCUGGAGUCCAGGACAUGACAGGGAUGGACACAGAAUUAUCUCUUCCUACAGCUCAAUCUACUCCCUGUCAUUCCAAAAUGGAAACCAAUUCAAUCAGAAUGCAAAAAUCACUGACUGUGUCUUCUGACAAUGGUUAUGAUACUUCAACCCAAAAGUCUUCACUGAGCAUGCACGACCCACCACAAGAAGCCCAAAGAGAAUUCAAGACCAGCAUCGGGACACUGACCCCACCUUCAGAGUGUCAACAGUCAAUCUCUGGUGAGGCUGUAGCUGAAGAUGGAGCUACGACCUCAGAAGUGACCUCAGCUGCUACACCUGCAGCUUUAGCCUCAGCUGCUACACCUGCAGCUAUGGCCUCAGCUGCUACACCUGCAGCUA